GUCAUCGCGGAGGAGGGCCCGGAAGGAGGCAGCACGGGCGGUCGGGGCCCGGGGCCCGGGGGAGGGCGCCACCUCCCCGUCGGGAACGAUGACCCUCUAGGGGGCAUGGAACUCGCGGGGGGGGAGUGGCCUCGCCCUUGAGGACGAAAGGCUCCUUCAAAAGGCGGGCGAGGGGCCGGGGGCGGUGGCUCACACCUGUCAUCCCAGCACUUGCGGAGGCCGAGGUGACUGGAACUGAUUUGACAUAACCAUCGUAUGCAUGGAGAAGCUGAGAACAGUAAUCUGCAGAAGCAAAAGUAUGAAACAGCCGGGCAAAGAUGCACAGAGGCUUUACCUUCCUCUGAUAAUUGGCAAAAGGUUCUGAAGCUCCCAGGCCAUCUGGAGUCCUUGUAAACUAGCAUACCUACAGCUGUACAAGCCAUAUUUUGAUAGCCCCCUGUAGCUAAUGGCUACCAUAUUGAACAGCAAAGAUAUACGGUACUUACCCAGCAGUAUAGAAAGCUCAACCGGACAGUGCUACAACAGUUGCAGGUAAGCAAGCAAGGUAAGGAUAGUCCCAAUCAGAUAGAUGGCAUCUAUUUUGUGUGAAGCCUUGUGAGGUGGCUCACACCUGUAGUCCCAGCUACUUGG
This is a long non-coding RNA of Homo sapiens (human), 630 nucleotides long. RefSeq lists it as uncharacterized. NCBI's taxonomy places the organism in Eukaryota, Metazoa, Chordata, Mammalia, Primates, Hominidae. The record is from RefSeq and is a predicted model, not a curated record. The transcript is spliced from 4 exons.